AGCAUGAUCUAGCUUGCUAGAUUGAUGGCGAGUGGCGAACGGGUGAGUAAUACAUCGGAACGUGCCCUGUAGUGGGGGAUAACUAGUCGAAAGAUUAGCUAAUACCGCAUACGACCUGAGGGUGAAAGUGGGGGACCGCAAGGCCUCAUGCUAUAGGAGCGGCCGAUGUCUGAUUAGCUAGUUGGUGGGGUAAAGGCCUACCAAGGCGACGAUCUGUAGCUGGUCUGAGAGGACGACCAGCCACACUGGGACUGAGACACGGCCCAGACUCCUACGGGAGGCAGCAGUGGGGAAUUUUGGACAAUGGGGGCAACCCUGAUCCAGCAAUGCCGCGUGUGUGAAGAAGGCCUUCGGGUUGUAAAGCACUUUUGUCCGGAAAGAAAACGCC
This 388-nucleotide ribosomal RNA is filed under the name uncultured Ralstonia sp. RNAcentral's name for it is "bacterial SSU rRNA". It matches the Rfam family "Bacterial small subunit ribosomal RNA", at positions 68 to 455 of the family's 1533-position model. Lineage: Bacteria; Pseudomonadati; Pseudomonadota; Betaproteobacteria; Burkholderiales; Burkholderiaceae. The record is from RNAcentral.